GGCAGGAGUGGCUGAAUGGUUAAGGCUCUGGGUUACUGAUCAGAAGGUUGGGGGUUCAAACCCCAGCACUGUCU
Molecule: non-coding RNA, 74 nt
Organism: Pangasianodon gigas (Mekong giant catfish)
Lineage: Eukaryota; Metazoa; Chordata; Actinopteri; Siluriformes; Pangasiidae
Source: the annotation of a GenBank genome assembly